This 601-nucleotide ribosomal RNA is filed under the name Limnichus sp. FC_290. RNAcentral's name for it is "SSU rRNA". It matches the Rfam family "Eukaryotic small subunit ribosomal RNA", at positions 22 to 602 of the family's 1831-position model. The record is from RNAcentral. Lineage: Eukaryota; Metazoa; Arthropoda; Insecta; Coleoptera; Limnichidae.
AGUCAUAUGCUUGUCUCAAAGAUUAAGCCAUGCAUGUCUCAGUACAAGCCAAAUUAAGGUGAAACCGCGAAAGGCUCAUUAAAUCAGUUAUGGUUCCUUAGAUCGUACCCACAUUUACUUGGAUAACUGUGGUAAUUCUAGAGCUAAUACAUGCAAACAGAGCUCCGACCGGAGACGGAAGGAGCGCUUUUAUUAGAUCAAAACCAAUCGGCGGCGGGCUUGCUCGUCGUCGUACAACCUGGUGAAUCUGAAUAACUUUCUGCUGAUCGCAUGGUCUAGCACCGGCGACGCAUCUUUCAAAUGUCUGCCUUAUCAACUGUCGAUGGUAGGUUCUGCGCCUACCAUGGUUGUAACGGGUAACGGGGAAUCAGGGUUCGAUUCCGGAGAGGGAGCCUGAGAAACGGCUACCACAUCCAAGGAAGGCAGCAGGCGCGCAAAUUACCCACUCCCGGCACGGGGAGGUAGUGACGAAAAAUAACGAUACGGGACUCAUCCGAGGCCCCGUAAUCGGAAUGAGUACACUCUAAACCCUUUAACGAGGAUCAAUUGGAGGGCAAGUCUGGUGCCAGCAGCCGCGGUAAUUCCAGCUCCAAUAGCGUAU